Molecule: ribosomal RNA, 301 nt
Filed under: uncultured bacterium
Lineage: Bacteria
Description: partial 16S ribosomal RNA
Rfam family: Bacterial small subunit ribosomal RNA
Source: RNAcentral
CAGUCGCCGCGGUAAUACGAAGGGUGCAAGCGUUACUCGGAAUUACUGGGCGUAAAGCGUGCGUAGGUGGUGGUUUAAGUCCGUUGUGAAAGCCCUGGGCUCAACCUGGGAAUUGCAGUGGAUACUGGGUCACUAGAGUGUGGUAGAGGAUAGUGGAAUUUCCGGUGUAGCAGUGAAAUGCGUAGAGAUCGGAAGAAACAUCUGUGGCGAAGGCGACUAUCUGGGCCAACACUGACACUGAGGCACGAAAGCAUGGGGAGCAAACAGGAUUAGAUACCCCGGUAGUCCCUGUCUCUUAUAC